UACGUAGGGGGCAAGCGUUGUCCGGAUUUAUUGGGCGUAAAGAGCGUGUAGGCGGCCAGACAGGUCCGUUGUGAAAACUCGAGGCUCAACCUGGGAAUGCCAUUCGAGACUGCAUAGCUAGGGUGCGGAAGAGGGAAGCGGAAUUUCAGGUGUAGCGGUGAAAUGCGUAGAUAUCUGAAGGAACACCAGUGGCGAAAGCGGCUUCCUGGUCCAGCACCGACGUUCAGGCACGAAAGCGUGGGGAGCAAACAGG
RNAcentral lists this ribosomal RNA (253 nucleotides) under uncultured bacterium. Its description in RNAcentral is "partial 16S ribosomal RNA". It matches the Rfam family "Bacterial small subunit ribosomal RNA", at positions 524 to 776 of the family's 1533-position model. The record is from RNAcentral.